Molecule: ribosomal RNA, 429 nt
Filed under: Acidobacteriota bacterium
Lineage: Bacteria; Pseudomonadati; Acidobacteriota
Description: Acidobacteria bacterium partial 16S ribosomal RNA
Rfam family: Bacterial small subunit ribosomal RNA
Source: RNAcentral
UGGGGAAUUUUGGACAAUGGGGGAAACCCUGAUCCAGCCAUCCCGCGUGUGCGAUGAAGGCCUUCGGGUUGUAAAGCACUUUUGGCAGGAAAGAAACGUCAUGGGUUAAUACCCCGUGAAACUGACGGUACCUGCAGAAUAAGCACCGGCUAACUACGUGCCAGCAGCCGCGGUAAUACGUAGGGUGCAAGCGUUAAUCGGAAUUACUGGGCGUAAAGCGUGCGCAGGCGGUUCGGAAAGAAAGAUGUGAAAUCCCAGAGCUCAACUUUGGAACUGCAUUUUUAACUACCGGGCUAGAGUGUGUCAGAGGGAGGUGGAAUUCCGCGUGUAGCAGUGAAAUGCGUAGAUAUGCGGAGGAACACCGAUGGCGAAGGCAGCCUCCUGGGAUAACAGUGACGCUCAUGCACGAAAGCGUGGGGAGCAAACAGG